AUCAAAAGAAAAACUCUAACGUUGCCACCGAAAACUCGAUCAGGAAUCCAAACUCAACUUGUCACUCCUUUCCUUUCUUUCCUUUUUUCUCUCAACGUAUUUGCUUUCUUUCUUUCUUUUGUUUCUUUCCUUUUUUUCUAGUUUUUUUCGUGUGUGUGUUUAUAUAGGGAGUACUAUGAGUGUAUGGUGUUAUGUGUGUUUGUAGUGAGGUUGG
This 214-nucleotide long non-coding RNA is filed under the name Capsicum annuum. RNAcentral describes it as "long non-coding RNA (CANN_LNC018886)". Lineage: Eukaryota; Viridiplantae; Streptophyta; Magnoliopsida; Solanales; Solanaceae. The record is from RNAcentral.